This 468-nucleotide ribosomal RNA is filed under the name uncultured bacterium. RNAcentral's name for it is "partial 16S ribosomal RNA". It matches the Rfam family "Bacterial small subunit ribosomal RNA", at positions 28 to 507 of the family's 1533-position model. The record is from RNAcentral.
GACGAACGCUGGCGGCGUGCUUAACACAUGCAAGUCGAACGGAAAGGCCCUGCUUUUGUGGGGUGCUCGAGUGGCGAACGGGUGAGUAACACGUGAGUAACCUGCCCUUGACUUUGGGAUAACUUCAGGAAACUGGGGCUAAUACCGGAUAGGAGCUCCUGCUGCAUGGUGGGGGUUGGAAAGUUUCGGCGGUUGGGGAUGGACUCGCGGCUUAUCAGCUUGUUGGUGGGGUAGUGGCUUACCAAGGCUUUGACGGGUAGCCGGCAUGAGAGGGUGACCGGGCACAUUGGGACUGCGAUACGGCCCAGACUCCUACGGGAGGCAGUAGUGGGGAAUCUUGCACAAUGAGCGGACGCCUGAUGCAGAAACGCCGCGUGCGGGAUGACGGCCUUCGGGUUGUAAACCGCUUUCGCCUGUGACGAAGCGUGAGUGACGGUAAUGGGUAAAGAAGCACCGGCUAACUACGUG